This 345-nucleotide transfer-messenger RNA is filed under the name Lachnospiraceae bacterium. It matches the Rfam family "transfer-messenger RNA". From Rfam's summary of the family: Bacterial tmRNA, also known as 10Sa RNA or SsrA, is named for its dual tRNA and mRNA-like properties. Its role is to liberate the mRNA from a stalled ribosome. To accomplish this part of the tmRNA is used as a reading frame that ends in a translation stop signal. Lineage: Bacteria; Bacillati; Bacillota; Clostridia; Lachnospirales; Lachnospiraceae. The record is from RNAcentral. RNAcentral also lists the same sequence under 1 other name.
GGGGUAGUAAAGGUCUCGACAGGGAUUUUGAAACUUUAGAAGCGAGCCGCAGGAUGAUGCGUUAAAUCUCAAAUUAAAUUUAAACGCUAACAAUAACGAAUUAGCAUACGCUGCCUGAUCGCAGCGUAAGUCGCCUGAUUGUACCCAUGCAUUCAGUCACCGGCUUCAAACACAUGGGAAACGGCUUGUGCUAAGCUUUGCGCACCAGUACGUAUCAUGAAGCUACUGACCCCGGAAGGGCGUGCUCUCCCGUCCGGCAGAGGGAAUGACAAACAGAUCACUAAGCUCGUAGAAGGAGAGUGAAUAGAUUUUUGGACGCGGGUUCGACUCCCGCCUACUCCACUA